RNAcentral lists this ribosomal RNA (478 nucleotides) under uncultured bacterium. Its description in RNAcentral is "partial 16S ribosomal RNA". It matches the Rfam family "Bacterial small subunit ribosomal RNA", at positions 28 to 507 of the family's 1533-position model. The record is from RNAcentral.
GAUGAACGCUGGCGGCGUGCUUAACACAUGCAAGUCGAACGGGAAACCUUUUAAUGAAGCUUCGGCAGAUUUAGCUGGUUUCUAGUGGCGGACGGGUGAGUAACGCGUGGGUAACCUGCCUUAUACAGGGGGAUAACAGUCAGAAAUGACUGCUAAUACCGCAUAAGCGCACAGGACCGCAUGGUCCGGUGUGAAAAACUCCGGUGGUAUAAGAUGGACCCGCGUUGGAUUAGCUUGUUGGUGGGGUAACGGCUCACCAAGGCGACGAUCCAUAGCCGGCCUGAGAGGGUGAACGGCCACAUUGGGACUGAGACACGGCCCAGACUCCUACGGGAGGCAGCAGUGGGGAAUAUUGCACAAUGGGGGAAACCCUGAUGCAGCGACGCCGCGUGAAGGAAGAUGUAUCUCGGUAUGUAAACUUCUAUCAGCAGGGAAGAUAGUGACGGUACCUGACUAAGAAGCCCCGGCUAACUACGUG